GAGUUUGAUCCUGGCUCAGAUUGAACGCUGGCGGCAUGCUUUACACAUGCAAGUCGAACGGUAACGCGGGGGGCAACCCUGGCGACGAGUGGCGAACGGGUGAGUAAUACAUCGGAACAUGUCCUGGAGUGGGGGAUAGCUCGGCGAAAGCCGGAUUAAUACCGCAUACGCUCUGAGGAGGAAAGCGGGGGACCUUCGGGCCUCGCGCUGCAGGAGUGGCCGAUGUCGGAUUAGCUAGUUGGUGAGGUAAAGGCUCACCAAGGCGACGAUCCGUAGCUGGUCUGAGAGGAUGAUCAGCCACACUGGGACUGAGACACGGCCCAGACUCCUACGGGAGGCAGCAGUGGGGAAUUUUGGACAAUGGGGGCAACCCUGAUCCAGGGCCAUGCCGCGUGAGUGAAGAAGGCC
Molecule: ribosomal RNA, 408 nt
Filed under: uncultured beta proteobacterium
Lineage: Bacteria; Pseudomonadati; Pseudomonadota; Betaproteobacteria
Description: bacterial SSU rRNA
Rfam family: Bacterial small subunit ribosomal RNA
Source: RNAcentral